CCGCGUGGUAGAAGAAGGCCUUUUGGUUGUAAAACUCUUUAAGGCAGGAGGAGAAUGCUACCUCUUAUUCUGAGGGAUAGUGGACGUUAUUUGCAGAAUAAGCACCGGCUAACUAUGUGCCAGCAGCCGCGGUAAUACAGAGGGUGCAAGCGUUAAUCGGAUUUACUGGGCGUAAAGCGCGCGUAGGCGGCCAAUUAAGUCAAAUGUGAAAUCCCCGAG
RNAcentral lists this ribosomal RNA (219 nucleotides) under Alcaligenes sp. Its description in RNAcentral is "partial 16S rRNA". It matches the Rfam family "Bacterial small subunit ribosomal RNA", at positions 397 to 607 of the family's 1533-position model. Lineage: Bacteria; Pseudomonadati; Pseudomonadota; Betaproteobacteria; Burkholderiales; Alcaligenaceae. The record is from RNAcentral.